This 640-nucleotide ribosomal RNA is filed under the name uncultured bacterium. Its description in RNAcentral is "bacterial SSU rRNA". It matches the Rfam family "Bacterial small subunit ribosomal RNA", at positions 202 to 842 of the family's 1533-position model. The record is from RNAcentral.
GAAAGAUUCAUCGGAAGAGGAUGGGCAUGCGGCGCAUUAGCUAGACGGCGGGGUAGCGGCCCACCGUGGCGACGAUGCGUAGGGGUUCUGAGAGGAAGGUCCCCCACACUGGUACUGAGACACGGACCAGACUCCUACGGGAGGCAGCAGUGAGGAAUAUUGGUCAAUGGGAGAGAUCCUGAACCAGCCAAGCCGCGUGAGGGAAGACGGCCCUAUGGGUUGUAAACCUCUUUUGUCGGAGAACAAAACCCGGGACGUGUCCCGGACUGCGUGUAUCCGAAGAAAAAGCAUCGGCUAACUCCGUGCCAGCAGCCGCGGUAAUACGGAGGAUGCGAGCGUUAUCCGGAUUUAUUGGGUUUAAAGGGUGCGUAGGCGGUCCGUUAAGUCAGCGGUAAAAUUGCGGGGCUCAACCCCGUCGAGCCGUUGAAACUGGCAGACUUGAGUUGGCGAGAAGUACGCGGAAUGCGCGGUGUAGCGGUGAAAUGCAUAGAUAUCGCGCAGAACUCCGAUUGCGAAGGCAGCGUACCGGCGCCAGACUGACGCUGGGGCACGAAAGCGUGGGGAUCGAACAGGAUUAGAUACCCUGGUAGUCCACGCAGUAAACGAUGAAUGCUGGUUGUCCGGGUCGAAUGAGAUCUGG